This 254-nucleotide ribosomal RNA is filed under the name uncultured bacterium. RNAcentral describes it as "partial 16S ribosomal RNA". It matches the Rfam family "Bacterial small subunit ribosomal RNA", at positions 524 to 776 of the family's 1533-position model. The record is from RNAcentral.
GACGUAGGAGGCGAGCGUUGUCCGGAGUCACUGGGCGUAAAGGGCGCGCAGGCGGCCGGGCGCGCCGCUCCGUCACAGCCCCCGGCUCAACCGGGCGGAUGCGGGCGGGACGGCCUGGCUGGAGGGUGCUAGGGGCCAGUGGAAUUCCCGGUGUAGUGGUGAAAUGCGUAGAUACCGGGAGGAACACCCGCAGCGAAGGCAGCUGGCUGGGGCAACCCUGACGCUGAGGCGCGAAGGCUCGGGGAGCGAAUGGG